This 497-nucleotide ribosomal RNA is filed under the name uncultured bacterium. Its description in RNAcentral is "partial 16S ribosomal RNA". It matches the Rfam family "Bacterial small subunit ribosomal RNA", at positions 28 to 507 of the family's 1533-position model. The record is from RNAcentral.
GAUGAACGCUGGCGGCGUGCCUAAUACAUGCAAGUCGAGCGAACAGACGAGGAGCUUGCUCCUCUGACGUUAGCGGCGGACGGGUGAGUAACACGUGGAUAACCUACCUAUAAGACUGGGAUAACUUCGGGAAACCGGAGCUAAUACCGGAUAAUAUAUUGAACCGCAUGGUUCAAUAGUGAAAGACGGUUUUGCUGUCACUUAUAGAUGGAUCCGCGCCGCAUUAGCUAGUUGGUAAGGUAACGGCUUACCAAGGCAACGAUGCGUAGCCGACCUGAGAGGGUGAUCGGGCAAAAUAGAAAUGGAAAACAGACCAGACUCCUACGGGAGGCAGCAGUAGGGAAUCUUCCGCAAUGGGCGAAAGCCUGACGGAGCAACGCCGCGUGAGUGAUGAAGGUCUUCGGAUCGUAAAACUCUGUUAUUAGGGAAGAACAAAUGUGUAAGUAACUAUGCACGUCUUGACGGUACCUAAUCAGAAAGCCACGGCUAACUACGUG